This 68-nucleotide transfer RNA is filed under the name Phrynocephalus forsythii. RNAcentral's name for it is "tRNA-Phe". RNAcentral also lists the same sequence under 1 other name. Lineage: Eukaryota; Metazoa; Chordata; Lepidosauria; Squamata; Agamidae. The record is from RNAcentral.
GUAUUACGUAGCUUAAUAGUAAAGCAUAGUGCUGAAGCCACUAAAAUGAGCUUAACGCUCCAAAUACG